This is a long non-coding RNA of Canis lupus familiaris (dog), 364 nucleotides long. RefSeq lists it as uncharacterized. The record is from RefSeq and is a predicted model, not a curated record. NCBI's taxonomy places the organism in Eukaryota, Metazoa, Chordata, Mammalia, Carnivora, Canidae. The transcript has 3 exons.
GCUCUGGCACUCCAGGCAAAGAUGGUGGAGCGCAGUUACAGCUUUUCACUGACUACAUUCAGCCCAUCUGGUAAACUUGUCCAGAUUGAAUAUGCAUUGGCUGCUGUAGCUGGAGGAGCCCCUUCAGUUGGAAUUAAAGCCGCAAAUGGUGUGGUAUUCGCAACUGAGAAGAAACAGAAAUCUAUUCUGUAUGAUGAGCGAAGUGUCCACAAAGUGGAACCAAUUACCAAGCACAUAGGCCUGGUGUAUAGUGGCAUGGGCCCAGAUUACAGAGUGCUCGUGCACAGAGCUCGAAAUCUUGCUCAGCAAUACUAUCUCGUUUACCAAGAACCCAUUCCCACAGCUCAGCUGGUACAGAGAGAGA